UAACCACAGUAGAACUUCUUCUAUCGCAGUUGAUCAUUUUCUGGAUUUGGGUGUACUGUGUGUCAAGUUGCCUGUGCCCAAAUAGAUCAGUCAACUAAAGAACUUGGCGUGUUUCAGCUGGCCUAUGAGCUCAUUUAUGGAAAGUCAUCCGUUUGUUGAGACCAGCCCAAAAGACCCUUAGGAACUUAGAAUACUCCUACCGACUUUGAAGACCAUAGCCCCAAAGCUGGGCUGUGAGAUGGAGCAGCAAAGAAGAGUAUCAUUGUCAAAGCUCAAGUUCCAUCAGAAUGAUAAAGAUAUAGCGCACUCACGUAAAUGAGACACAGCUGGGAAUGGAGCUGCACCUUGAAGAGCUGCUGAGGAUCAUCAUUGCUUUUUCUUUACGUGGCUGCAUGAUCCUUCUUCUAUGCAUCAUUUUGCAACUUGGGAAUAAAUCCAGAGCGCUAGAGGUAAAGACCUGCUUCUGGAGCUGCAAAUUCAGAUACCUUCAGGGGCCACAGAAGUAUUUCAAAUGUCAGAGGCAGUCAAGUGUGCAUCACCUAAAGGCCUUCAGAUUCAAAUUAAAAAACAUACCCUCCAUACCAAUGAUUGCUUGCAUGUCUUUGGUUUUGUUUGCAAACUUUGGCUUCACUCUUCA
This 637-nucleotide long non-coding RNA is filed under the name Rhinopithecus bieti (black snub-nosed monkey). RNAcentral describes it as "lncRNA (ENSRBIG00000046030.1)". The record is from RNAcentral. Lineage: Eukaryota; Metazoa; Chordata; Mammalia; Primates; Cercopithecidae.